UCCUUGGCAACUGUGUUUAACUCACAGGAUUUGUUCUGCUCCAGCUAGCCAGAGCAACUUAAAAGAAACAAACACCUUGAAACAGAACAAGGCUUAUAAUUGGUCCCACAGCCUCCAUGAAAUGAAUCUGGGCAAGUCAAGCUUAAUGGACAAUAGGGGGCAAGGAAAAGAUGUAUGACUCCUGUUGACAAUAUUGCUAUCAGUACAGAAGAGAUGCUAUUAACUUUCAUAUUUGCAGCCAAUAAUACAAGACAUCUGUUCUGAGUAACUUCCAUCUGGAAUACUGUAGCCCUCAUUUCCCGUUUGCAUACGUGAUAUUAGUGUAAUUGAAACUGGUUUAGAAACAGAAAAGGAAGAAAAAUAAUACUUGCUUCAUUUGGUCCACAGAAAAUUGCAUUGUCUUUUGAUUUCCACCCUUGAAUGGAAGUAGUUAUGGUGCCACACACAAGAGAAAUGUCAUCUUAAAAAUUACACGCUAAUAUCAGUUAGCACUGUGAUGUUAGUAGCAAUUAACCUUAAAAGCAACAAUUUUUUUAAUAUGGUGUCUCUCCAUUAACUCAUCCCUUUUUAUAAACAAUUACAUGAUACAUUCUCAUGAAAAGCAUAUAUAUUCAAUAAUAAAUAUUUAACUUGAAGAUCA
Long non-coding RNA from Monodelphis domestica (gray short-tailed opossum), 640 nucleotides. RefSeq lists it as uncharacterized. The record is from RefSeq and is a predicted model, not a curated record. NCBI's taxonomy places the organism in Eukaryota, Metazoa, Chordata, Mammalia, Didelphimorphia, Didelphidae.